GACGAACGCUGGCGGCGUGCUUAACACAUGCAAGUCGAACGGAAAGGCCCUGCUUUUGUGGGGUGCUCGAGUGGCGAACGGGUGAGUAACACGUGAGUAACCUGCCCUUGACUUUGGGAUAACUUCAGGAAACUGGGGCUAAUACCGGAUAGGAGCUCCUGCUGCAUGGUGGGGGUUGGAAAGUUUCGGCGGUUGGGGGGGGACGCGCGGCUUAUCAGCUUGUGGGGGGGGUAGUGGCUUACCAAGGCUUUGACGUGUAGCCGGCCUGAGAGGGUGCCGGGCCACUUGGGGACUGAGAUACGGCCCACACCCAUACGGGGGGCAGGAGGGGGGAAUAUUGCACAAGGGGCGGGAGCGUGAUGCAGAAACGCCGCGUGGGGGAUGACGGCUUUCGGGGUGUAAACCGUUUUCGCCUGUGACGACGCGUGAUGGCCGUUAAUGGGGAAAGAAGCACCGGCUAACUACGU
This 467-nucleotide ribosomal RNA is filed under the name uncultured bacterium. RNAcentral describes it as "partial 16S ribosomal RNA". It matches the Rfam family "Bacterial small subunit ribosomal RNA", at positions 28 to 506 of the family's 1533-position model. The record is from RNAcentral.